CCCGCACAAGCGGUGGAUGAUGUGGAUUAAUUCGAUGCAACGCGAAAACCCUUACCUACCCUUGACAUGUCCGGAAUCCCUGAGAGAUUGGGGAGUGCUUGAAAGAGAAUCGGAACACAGGUGCUGCAUGGCUGUCGUCAGCUCGUGUCGUGAGAUGUUGGGUUAAGUCCCGCAACGAGCGCAACCCUUGUCAUUAGUUGCUACAUUUAGUUGGGCACUCUAAUGAGACUGCCGGUGACAAACCGGAGGAAGGUGGGGAUGACGUCAAGUCCUCAUGGCCCUUAUGGGUAGGGCUUCACACGUCAUACAAUGGUACAUACAGAGGGCCGCCAACCCGCGAGGGGGAGCUAAUCCCAGAAAGUGUAUCGUAGUCCGGAUUGUAGUCUGCAACUCGACUACAUGAAGUUGGAAUCGCUAGUAAUCGCGGAUCAGCAUGUCGCGGUGAAUACGUUCCCGGGCCUUGUACACACCGCCCGUCACACCAUGGGAGCGGGUUUCACCAGAAGUGGGUAGC
RNAcentral lists this ribosomal RNA (514 nucleotides) under Oxalicibacterium solurbis. RNAcentral's name for it is "bacterial SSU rRNA". It matches the Rfam family "Bacterial small subunit ribosomal RNA", at positions 920 to 1434 of the family's 1533-position model. The record is from RNAcentral. Lineage: Bacteria; Pseudomonadati; Pseudomonadota; Betaproteobacteria; Burkholderiales; Oxalobacteraceae.